ACGGGGGGAGCAAGCGUUGUUCGGAUUCAUUGGGCGUAAAGGGCGCGUAGGCGGCUUGGCAAGUCCGUCAUGAAAUGUACCGGUUCAACCGGGGCACUGUGUCGGAAACUGCCUGGCUUGAGGUCGAGGGAGGAGAGUGGAAUUCCUGGUGCAGCGGUGAAAUGCGUAGAGACUGGGAGGAACACCAGUGGCGAAGGCGGCUACCUGGACGGGUACUGACGCUGAGGCGCGAAAGCUAGGGUAGCAAACAGGA
This 253-nucleotide ribosomal RNA is filed under the name uncultured prokaryote. RNAcentral describes it as "partial 16S ribosomal RNA". It matches the Rfam family "Bacterial small subunit ribosomal RNA", at positions 525 to 777 of the family's 1533-position model. The record is from RNAcentral.